CCCUGUACCACAAUGUCUCUUUGGAGAGGUGUCUGCCACGCUUGGGGGUCACCCAGCAUAAGGGGGGGUCACCCCUGUUAAUCACUCUGUUAUGUGACUCCACUACUGUGUCCUGGGAGGUGUAUCCCUGUGGGGAAGGAGUGUAUCCAAUGGUUGUGAGGUCCAGUGGGAGUAGGGAGCUGAGUAAGUUAUCAGCUCUAUUUAAUUUCCCUGCCAGUAGAUAGAGUAAUGCAUCCACUAUAUGUCCACAGCAGGGGACAGUCCAUUCAUAAUCCUCCAGAUGUACAAUAAAACUGUUAUUCAACAUCUCAAUUGUAUAGAACAGAAUAGAGCAAACUGUCAGCAGAUGCACACAGCAGGGAUCAGUCCUACAUAUUCAUGCAGAGUUACAUAUAAAACUUUUAUUUCACAUGCCAAUGAAAUAUGCCAGUAUAGAGCUCAGCAGUGAACAGUCCAUUCAUAAUCUUCCAGGAAAGGUACAUAUAAAACCUUUAUUCCACAUGCACAUGAACAGUAUAGAGCUCAAAAGUACUUGUAAAACUUUUAUUUCACAGGAAAAAAUAUAUGAAACAGUACAGAACUAGCCGCCAGUUUGUGUGAAUCACGAACUGGCCAAACGACAUGGCCGACGUGAAUCUCGCGAGUGCCACGAGAUUCAAGAUGUCCGCCGUUCACGCGCAAAAGUGCCGUGCGGCCCACGAUCAAGGAUACAAUCGCGGUCUGCCGGCAUGGAAAAGAGUCCCCCCGACACCCCCAACCCCCUGAAGUCCCAGCACCAAUGAAUAAAAAGCGUCCUCGCGGUAAAACGCUGCGAUCCGUGCGAGACCAGUGUAAAGCAUAGGAAAGAAAAGGUGCCAGCAACAGAAAACAGGCUAAUAAAGCAGAAAAUACAGGUUAACAGUUUGGAGCAAAAACUGAAUGUCUAGCAUUAAAAAUCUAACUAAAGUUACCAUAGCAAUAUUAAUAAAAACAGUUGGAGCAAACUGAAAGUCAAGUAAUCCAUUUUAAUUAAAGUGGUAUCCUGAAAACCAGUUAGGAUUAAAACUGAACAAUAUUAAUAAAAACAGUUUGGAGCAAACUGAAAGUUAAGCAAUAAAUGGUUAACUAAUGACAAUUGCAAUAUCAGUAAAACAGUUUGGAGCAAAAUACUCUGACCUGUGCCUUGGCUGGUAAGCAGCAAAGAAAGAGGAAGUCAUGUGUCCGUCAGGGCUUUAUAUAUGGAUGUGAUGCC
Molecule: non-coding RNA, 1231 nt
Organism: Pelobates cultripes (western spadefoot toad)
Lineage: Eukaryota; Metazoa; Chordata; Amphibia; Anura; Pelobatidae
Source: the annotation of a GenBank genome assembly